GAUUGAAACCGGGUCGGACCCACGUGACCCACCAGCCGUGCGAGUUAGGGUGGGCUGGGUCCAACCCGGCUCACUGGCCACCUCUAUGUGAAAUGUAUCAUGAGAAAGAGUUUUUUAAAAGUUGGGAAAAGCUGAAGUUGAGGGUUUCCAGCUUUCAGAUAUUGAAUUAUAGUCUUCAAACAUCUUUAGUUUGCUUGAGUUGAUUGGAGUUUGGAUUGCUCAAGUUAGACUGUCAGAGUAUAUGUCAUGGUGUUGUUUGAUAUUGCCCAUAUAUUUAAGGAGAUCCUUGAAUCAAAAGCAUAAACUUUAGGUUUCUGUGAGACUCCCCCCCACCCCCCCCCCCCCACACACACACACCCCACUUUUUUUAUCCCAUUCCCACCAGCUUAUUCCAAUCAACUGUACUGAACUUAAUUUAAUCUUUUAUCUUGCUUCAGGGUACCAAAAUGUUAAUUGUUAUCGUCCUUCGAAAGUAAUAUUUGGGCUCUGACUUUUUAUAACAAUCACAUUGCUGAUAGUCUUCUGCUCUCUGUAUAAUCUCUAAGAAUUCAUCCAUGACUGCAAUGUAACAGUACCAAUUGCUACAAGAUCCUUACUCUCCUCUCGUCAUUGCAUUUUAGAUAUUCAGCAUUUUAGAUAUUGAGCAUGAGUGAUAUUAUAUAUUUUUUCUCCUUAUCUACAUAAUCCCUGAUUGUCGGCAGCAUGUUUUUUCUAUCCGAAUGGCAGAAAUAAAGACCGGAAUUAUGGACUAAUAGAGGAACUUCUGUCUGAUAAGAAUCCUGCAUUAUACAAAAAAAAUCACUCAUGCUGAAUAUCUCAAGCAUCAUAGUGUACAUGGAAGUCGCUGCUCCAAAGAUCUUCCUCAUAUCAAGCUUUAAUCUAUUUCGAUCAGUACUAACCAUAUGUAACUACUGGUAUAAUCAUGCAACUAUGACAAGAUCUUUUCCUCAUUAUAAGAGUAAAAUUUCUCAUUAAACCCCCAUAAUUUGACUCUAUGACUCACCAAUCAGUUAAACCACAAACCAACAGUAUUAACAACAAAUCUUGCAUAAAAAUGCAAGUGAAACACUUGCAAAAAGUGCACAUAAAUUUUUAAAUAUGUGGUUGUUAUAAAGGGAGAUUUAUUCUUUAAAAAAAUCUGUUAUUAUUUUAUUAUUUAUAUAUACAUGUGACUGGUUGAGGAAUGGAAUUCACAGCAUAAAUGUUCACUAAGAAGUAUGGAAUGCACAGUGUUAAUUUCAGCAGUACAGAAUACCUAAUGAGAGGUAUGGCAUUUGUUGCUCAAUUAUUCGUUUGUUUACACAAAGAAACAAGCUCAACAUCAACUUAUCAGCUAUGGAAGGUAUGAUCUAUCUUUUCUGCAAUAAUUUCUCAUAGUAGCAUUUUACAUACCUGCAGUACUUAAACAUAUUCUCUGACAAACUCCUUGAGCUUUACAUGUUUACUUCAGUCAAGAAUAAGGUGUUGAAUAAAAAUAUGUAGAUUGUUCUAUAAAGCUACUACUAAUCAGAAUAUUCUAUGAACAUUUAUAUAUACAGAUAAAAAAUACAGAACACCUAGACAAAAACCAGAGUAUCUAUAUUUGGAUCAGUUAAAUGCAACAAGCAAAGCUUACAUAGUGAGGAUAGUAGUUGCUGUAAAGGGAAGAGACAUACUAUCUUCCAAAAAAACUGUCAGAUUUCAGACUUUGCUCCUAAAAGAUGAAAAGGGUAAUAGGAUGCGAGGUACUUUAUUUGGAGAUCAAAUUGAAACUUUUGAAGAAGCAUUGCAAUAUUUGGUUGAGUAUGACAUUUCUGCUGCAUCAAUCAAAUUUAUAGAUGAAAAAUGGAGGACUAACCUUGAUCAGUUCCCUUAACAAAUGACUUUUGGUAGUAGAACUGUGAUCCAGCCAGUUCAUCCAGAGCUUGGACUAGUUCUACCUAAUUAUCAACCUAUUGCAACUAUACCUCGUGCAGUGGAUCCUGACGAGAGAUACGGUAUAAUGAAAUUCCCUUAUGUAUUCUAAAUAAUAGAAAUACUAAACAACUUUUCUUUAUCAACAGAUGUUGUAGGUGUGGUGCUCUAUGUUGAGGAAGAACCUAGAAGAGUUGAAGGCAAAGAUGGAGGGCGAGAAAGCUUGGUGCGAGAAAUUGUUAUCCUGAUCAAAGCUGUGAUCAUCCACUCACCAUCUCUCUCUGGAAUGACCUUACGGCUCCAAAGUACUUUGACAGAUUAGGAAAUUGGGCAGAAACAUUCCAAGUUAUAGGAUUCAGGGCUAUUAAGCCUUAUACUCGCCGUGGUAAAGCAUAUAUUGCUGAAAUUGAAUUGCUUAAAUGAUUCUUUACUAUUAGUAUAUAACCACUUAAUGUUUUGAUUAGGAUUUUCAAAGAAUUCUGGUAUGUCCACCCGAAUAAUAUAUGAACCUAAAGAAGAUCGCGCUCGUGCGCUAUGUGACUGGUAAUUUCCUCUAACCAAAUGUAAUAGCAAAAAUAACACUAAAUUAGAAAUUACACUAGUAGAAAAAUACAAAUAGGCAACCCCCUAAUGGCACCGGUUCAGGUCAAACUGGUGGCAAAAACCGGCCUAAAAAUGGGCGGGUUUUUAAACAAAGAGAAAUGGCACCGGUUCAGCUCAAACCGGUGGCAAAAAUAAAAAAGGCACCGGUUUGAACCGGUGCCUUUACGAACCGGUUCGUUUAAUAAUUAAAAAAAAACCGCCCAUAUAACUACCCCCCAACCCUAAUUUUUUCAGCCGUUUCUCUCUCCUCCUCCUCCUCCUCUUUCUCUCUCCUCCUCUUUCCUUCUUGCUCGCCGAUCUCCUUCAUUUCUUUAUCUUUCUGGAUCUCCUCCUCCUUUCUAUCACUUGAAGACUACCAACAAUUCGAAGACAACAACAUGCAACACCGAUUUUUAUU
Long non-coding RNA from Chenopodium quinoa (quinoa), 2893 nucleotides. RefSeq lists it as uncharacterized. NCBI's taxonomy places the organism in Eukaryota, Viridiplantae, Streptophyta, Magnoliopsida, Caryophyllales, Amaranthaceae. The record is from RefSeq and is a predicted model, not a curated record. The transcript has 3 exons.